GACGAACCGUGCGAACGUUGUUCGGAUUCACUGGGCUUAAAGGGCGCGUAGGCGGGCCAUCAAGUCUGUGGUGAAAGCCCCCGGCUCAACCGGGGAAGUGCCGCGGAUACUGGUGGUCUCGAGGGGUGCAGGGGCAUGUGGAACUUCCGGUGGAGCGGUGAAAUGCGUAGAUAUCGGAAGGAACGCCGGUGGCGAAAGCGACGUGCUGGACACCUACUGACGCUGAGGCGCGAAAGCCAGGGGAGCAAACGGG
Molecule: ribosomal RNA, 253 nt
Filed under: uncultured bacterium
Lineage: Bacteria
Description: partial 16S ribosomal RNA
Rfam family: Bacterial small subunit ribosomal RNA
Source: RNAcentral